This 781-nucleotide long non-coding RNA is filed under the name Piliocolobus tephrosceles (Ugandan red Colobus). Its description in RNAcentral is "lncRNA (ENSPTEG00000027280.1)". The record is from RNAcentral. Lineage: Eukaryota; Metazoa; Chordata; Mammalia; Primates; Cercopithecidae.
CGGGGACAUCAGCUGCUGUGGCCAGAGAAGAGAACAUGAUGGUCCAGGGUGCAGCUGCUGAAGAAGGAUCCCAGACUCUACCCAGAUCCCCAAAUACCAUCUCUUCUGCCUGUAACUGAGCCAGUAAAAGGAAAAAGGAGGACAGCAGCACUGAGGGUAGACUACGGCUCCAGUGGUUAAUUUCACUGGAUCAAGAAGAGACAUAGGAAAGGAAAAACAUUGGUGUGUAAGGGAGGGACAGUCACUUCUUUGUUCAUGCUAUUAGUUGAUUAGGUAAACAUCAUUUGAUUUGUCUUUGUGCUAGUGGGCAGAACUACAGCGUAAAGUUGAAAGUCAUUUUGGACUCCCUUUUCUCAUAAGAGGCAGGGUGAGAUGGCUUGGAAGUAGGCUGAGAAACAUUACUCUUGAUAGUUAUCCAAACUCUGCCUCAUAGGAGGCAUGGAUGUGGUUUUCCCUCACAUUUGGGUAUGAAAUCUGAGAUUCCAUUUCUGAUCUCUACUUAGGAUGGCCAUAGGUAGUUCAGUACUAGUGACCUGUUUUGAAUCAAGGCCUAUUAGGCUCACCUAGCUUAGAUAGGAGCAUGGUCCACAAAAUCUAGGCUAGCUAGAAAUGGAGCUGACAGAAGACAGACUCGCCUGUUAGAAUAACUAGUAAUAGCUAAGGCUUAUUGACUAUUGUGUGCCAGGCAUGACUCUAAGGACUUUGAAGCUAUAGUUUUAUAUAAUCCUUGCAGUACCCUUGUGAGGUUACUGUUCUUAUCUCCAUUUAAGGAGUGAGGAAA